GGGUUCAGAACGUCGUGAGACAGUUCGGUCCCUAUCCGUCGCAGGCGUAGGAAAUUUGAGAAGACCUGUCCUUAGUACGAGAGGACCGGGAUGGACGUACCUCUGGUCCUGGGGCUGUAGUAGGUCCCAAGGGUUGGGCUGUUCGCCCAUUAAAGUGGUACGCGAGCUGGGUUCAGAACGUCGUGAGACAGUUCGGUCCCUAUCCGUCGCAGGCGUAGGAAAUUUGAGAAGACCUGUCCUUAGUACGAGAGGACCGGGAUGGACGUACCUCUGGUGUACCAGUUGUUCUGCCAAGGGCAUGGCUGGGUAGCUAUGUACGGAAUGGAUAAGCGCUGAAAGCAUCUAAGCGCGAAGCCAACUUCAAGAUAAGAUUUCCCACCGCAAGGGUAAGACCCCAGAAAGACUAUCUGGUUGAUAGGUCGAAGGUGUAAGUGCAGCAAUGUAUUUAGCUUAUCGAUACUAAUAGGUCGAGGACUUGACCAAU
Molecule: ribosomal RNA, 484 nt
Filed under: Clostridioides difficile
Lineage: Bacteria; Bacillati; Bacillota; Clostridia; Peptostreptococcales; Peptostreptococcaceae
Description: partial 23S ribosomal RNA
Rfam family: Bacterial large subunit ribosomal RNA
Source: RNAcentral